RNAcentral lists this ribosomal RNA (373 nucleotides) under uncultured eukaryote. RNAcentral's name for it is "partial 18S ribosomal RNA". It matches the Rfam family "Eukaryotic small subunit ribosomal RNA", at positions 592 to 976 of the family's 1831-position model. The record is from RNAcentral.
CAAUAGCGUAUAUUUAAGUUGUUGCAGUUAAAAAGCUCGUAGUUGGAUUUCGGUUGAGAACGGCCGGUCCGCCGUUUGGUGUGCACUGGCUGGUUUCAACUUCCUGUAGAGGACGCGCUCUGGCUUCACGGCUGGACGCGGAGUCUACGUGGUUACUUUGAAAAAAUUAGAGUGUUCAAAGCGGGCUUACGCUUGAAUAUUUCAGCAUGGAAUAACACUAUAGGACUCCUGUCCUAUUUCGUCGGUCUCGGGACGGGAGUAAUGAUUAAGAGGAACAGUUGGGGGCAUUCGUAUUUCAUUGUCAGAGGUGAAAUUCUUGGAUUUAUGAAAGACGAACUUCUGCGAAAGCAUUUGCCAAGGAUGUUUUCAUUAA